Molecule: long non-coding RNA, 1683 nt
Filed under: Panax ginseng (ginseng)
Lineage: Eukaryota; Viridiplantae; Streptophyta; Magnoliopsida; Apiales; Araliaceae
Description: long non-coding RNA (PGIN_LNC004023)
Source: RNAcentral
AACCAUAUAAUACAUAUCAAAAUUAAGAAGCAGAAGAGAAGAGCAAGCUCUAGCAAAUUAAGGCAUGGAAGGCUUAAUUCCAUUUCUCCUCCACACCCUCCAGAAGCAGAAGCCUCACAACGGUUACCGUUCCCUUUCCGACACCUCUAACCGGAGCUACCACAUUCUGAUGGGAGCCAACAAUGACGAGGGCUCGUCUCAUCGUCGAACAAGGUCGGAAUUUCAGCCAUACGUGGUGGUUAAUUUAUCGGAGAAACGAAACUUAAACAAAGGUUCUACUCUUAUAACAUCAAAUGCAACUGUCUCGAGGCAAAUUGGCUCUAGUAAUUUUCAAGUUUCAAGAGAUACAAAUGUUAAUAUUAGACAAAAAAACUAGAGUAUUUUAGUGUAACGUCUUGUCGUCUUAAAACGAGAGUCAUGUUUGAUUUGUCGAUUUUUUUUAAAUGCAUAUUGAGAAUUGCGAAUGAUAUAUAUAUAUAUAUAUAUAUAUAUAUAUAUAUAUAUAUAUAUAUUAUUGACAAAUUUUAAUAGGCAUAAGAAAAAUUAACAAUUCAAAUAGGAUCCUUAUUUAAUGACUAUGGGAAUAUUAUUGUGUAAUUGUAUUAAUUUGUAGUAAGGAUCAACAUUUGAUUUCUUAGUUCAUUCAAUUGUAACUAAACAUGGCUUUUGAAUUAAUAAUUUUGUUGUAAGAUUUUUAUUUUAAUUCUGCUUUUUGAUCUUAGCUUGAUUAAUAUUCCAUUCCAUUAUAUGCACGACAGUUUCGGCAUCCAAAUUGUAUUUCAAUUUGAUCAAAGACGGUGUAAACACGAGGACUUAUUAUUAGUCAAUUGAAGAUAAAGAUUGGCUGGUCGGAAUUUGCUGCUUGCUAGUUGGUAGUAAUCAAAUUGCUUGACUUUUGGUCAAUUACUUUUAUUUUAAGAAUUAAUAUUUUUAUAAGUAAAAAUGAUAAUUUCACAAAUUUUUUAUCACAUAAAAAUUAAAUGAGUCUUACACAGUGGCGGAACCUUAAUAUUUUUAGACUGAUAUUAAGGUUCAAAUUUCAAAGAUAAUAAAUUAAAAUUAAAGAUAUUAAGGUGGAUAAUAUUUUUAAUAUUUUUAGACUGAUAUUAUAAGAAUGAUAUUUAAGAUUCAAAUUUCAAAGAUAAUUUGGACAAAGAAAUUAAAUUAAAUUCCGUCGUGAAUAUUACUCCGACAUGAAUAGUACUCCGACAUGAAUAAUAUUCCGGAUGAAUAGAUUAAAAUAUAAUAAGAAAGUUUAGACCAAUAUUCAAGUUAAUUGAUACUAGAUGAAGCGCAAAUUAUUAAGGAUAUUCUACUAAUUUCAGGGAUUUUCACUGUAAGACCCCAACUUUUAUGAAUAAAAAUGAAUUUUCUAUAAAUAUCAUUUUUGAAUAUUAUGGAAUAAAUUUGAUAUAAUGUUAUAGUUGUGGGUAAUAUUUAUAAAUUUUGCAAAGUACGCAAGUUGUUAUAUAAUAUUCGAUUGGACAGGGAAUAUUCGUACGACGGCACAAUCAUUGGUGGACCCCACAAUAGAAUUAUUGUCGGAUUGAGAAAACGACAAAAAUAUUUUUAUGAAAAUAAUGGCGGAAGUUUUACCGUUGAUACUGUUGAACUACUCGGUAGUAAAAGUACAGUAAUACGCUUGGUUGCAUAGUAGCAAACGGUAUUGAUUAUUAAUGUUUA